AGUGGCGGACGGGUGAGUAACGCGUGAGAAUCUGCCUUCAGGAUGGGGACAACAGUUGGAAACGACUGCUAAUACCCAAUAUGCCUACGGGUGAAACUUAUUUGGCCUGAAGAUGAGCUCGCGUCUGAUUAGCUAGUUGGUGGUGUAAGAGACUACCAAGGCGACGAUCAGUAGCUGGUCUGAGAGGAUGAGCAGCCACACUGGGACUGAGACACGGCCCAGACUCCUACGGGAGGCAGCAGUGGGGAAUUUUCCGCAAUGGGCGAAAGCCUGACGGAGCAAUACCGCGUGAGGGAGGAAGGUUUUUGGAUUGUAAACCUCUUUUCUCAGGGAAGAAUUAUGACGGUACCUGAGGAAUAAGCACCGGCUAACUCCGUGCCAGCAGCCGCGGUAAUACGGAGGGUGCAAGCGU
RNAcentral lists this ribosomal RNA (412 nucleotides) under uncultured bacterium. Its description in RNAcentral is "bacterial SSU rRNA". It matches the Rfam family "Bacterial small subunit ribosomal RNA", at positions 94 to 541 of the family's 1533-position model. The record is from RNAcentral.